This 1096-nucleotide long non-coding RNA is filed under the name Setaria viridis. RNAcentral's name for it is "long non-coding RNA (SVIR_LNC004492)". The record is from RNAcentral. Lineage: Eukaryota; Viridiplantae; Streptophyta; Magnoliopsida; Poales; Poaceae.
GUGCCUCCGCGACAAGUCGCAGCUGGCCGUUACCGCCUCCACCGUCCAUAAAUGCCGAGUUGUUGCCGUCGUCUGUUCUUUUCCCCAUCCGCAAGAACAGAGCAGAGCAGAGUCCGCUUCGCGCCCAAUUUCUUGAACACCUCAGCCUCCCAUUUCGAUUCCUUGCGUCCAUAGCUCCACCACUAUCCCAUCUACGCUCUACGCCCUUCAAUCCCGCAGCUCCGCGACGGCAAGCUCAUCCUUACUAUUCUUUGCAUCCGCCGGCCACCGUGAGCCACCCCAUUGUGAGCGCUUGGGUGCUACCCCUCUCUGCUUGAGCUUUUGGUCCAGGACACUUUCCUUGAUCCUGUAGAAGCCGAUCUUGUAGAAGCCGUAGAGCAAGCCCUUGACUGCCGUUGCCGUCGAGCACCCUGUACAGCCCACCGCCCUUGUCAGCAACACCUCCGGUCGAUGCGCAAGACCCUAGGGAGUCCGUCCAGCUAGUCCUCAUCACCGGCGGCGAGUUGCCGGCGUUACCCGCCGGGGGCACCCGCGGUCAAGGGCGGGCAGCUGUGCCUUGACUCGGGUCCCACUUGUCAGUGGUUGUGGGUAGGUAGCGGGUCCCACUUGUCAGUGGUCGUGGGUAGGUAGCGGGUGAGUAGGUUUAGUUUCCCCGAGGGGUUUUCGGGUUAUAAAUGGUUUAGGUGUUUUAGAAAUUAGUUUUAAAUCUAGUUUUCAUAUUUAAUUCUUUAUAAUUUAUAGAAAUAUCCAAAAAUAGUGAAACAAAUUUUGUUGGGUUUGUUUUAUUAUCCUUUAUGCAUUAAAAAUUCUUAAACUCUAGGAAAAGAUAAUAAAAAUUAGGUAUUUAUUUAGUGCCUUUAUUUAAGGUAUUUAAAUAAAUACUUAGCCUUUAUAAAAUGUAUAAAAUUUUGAAUAAUAUUUUAUUAUUCAAAAAUGCUUAUUAAACCAUAGAAUUAUGUUUUGAGAUUAGAAAUUAUUUAUAAUGUUUUUCUAAAUAAAAAGAAAGACUUAAGUUAGGCUAGUUAAGAAAUUAAUUUGUGGGUUAAUCUUUUCUGGGUAGUUUAGUGUUGGCUUGCAACUUUAUCAUGAAGAUAAG